Molecule: long non-coding RNA, 767 nt
Organism: Catharus ustulatus (Swainson's thrush)
Lineage: Eukaryota; Metazoa; Chordata; Aves; Passeriformes; Turdidae
Exons: 5
Source: RefSeq, a predicted model, not a curated record
UUGUGUUUGAACUCCCUGACUGCAGAUUCACCAGUGGCAGGACUACCCCUCUAUUCUGACUAUUCCUACACAAAUUCACUGACAAAAUCAGUGUCUGACUUGACCCAGUGUUGCAGAGACUUAGGACUGCAACCUUUGCCUUGUAUUCCUCAGAGUUAGAUGAUCCCUUCUCCUCACACAGCCAGCCAAAAUGGAAUCAUAAUUUCAUUAGCCUCAGGAGAUGUCCUCCUUCUGGAUUGCUCCCAGGAUCCUGAAUUUCCAGCCUUCCUUUCCAAGGCUUCCCUACUUGUGAAAGAAGAGACACAUCCUUCCAUGUGCUGGCACGGAGGGACUGGAUCAAAGAGGCAAAGAGGAAGUUUGGUUCCUCAUGGAUGCCUAAAGUCAAAGCCUGGAUCUGCAAUCUCUUGGCACAGAAGCUGCUGCUAUGAGGACACCAUGCUUUAAUGAGUCUAACUGCAGGAAAAGGUGGAACAAUGGUGGAAUUGGUGAUGGAAAUUGUGUCAGACAAGGAUGAAGAGUAAAACAGAGCUGUUGGUGUUGAAAAUGCCUUGCAAUUUUAGGGCUGGCAGAGCAGAGCUCAUGUUUGGAAGAUCAGGAACAUUUUCACAGGUCACUGACUCUGUGUUUGCCGGAGAGCAAGUCUGGUGUGUAUUGAGAGAGAGGGUAACAGUGGCAAAGUGUUACAGGCGAGCUGGGAGCAGGGCUCAGCCCUUCCUCUGAGAAAGGGUCUGGCCCAAUAUGAACCCUGAAUAUUGCAACAAAACACC